GAUGAACGCUGGCGGCGUGCCUAAUACAUGCAAGUCGAGCGAACGGACGAGAAGCUUGCUUCUCUGAUGUUAGCGGCGGACGGGUGAGUAACACGUGGAUAACCUACCUAUAAGACUGGGAUAACUUCGGGAAACCGGAGCUAAUACCGGAUAAUAUUUUGAACCGCAUGGUUCAAAAGUGAAAGACGGUCUUGCUGUCACUUAUAGAUGGAUCCGCGCUGCAUUAGCUAGUUGGUAAGGUAACGGCUUACCAAGGCAACGAUGCAUAGCCGACCUGAGAGGGUGAUCGGCCACACUGGAACUGAGACACGGUCCAGACUCCUACGGGAGGCGGCAGUAGGGAAUCUUCCGCAAUGGGCGAAAGCCUGACGGAGCAACGCCGCGUGAGUGAUGAAGGUCUUCGGAUCGUAAAACUCUGUUAUUAGGGAAGAACAUAUGUGUAAGUAACUGUGCACAUCUUGACGGUACUUAAUCAGAAAGCCACGGCUAACUACGUG
This 497-nucleotide ribosomal RNA is filed under the name uncultured bacterium. Its description in RNAcentral is "partial 16S ribosomal RNA". It matches the Rfam family "Bacterial small subunit ribosomal RNA", at positions 28 to 507 of the family's 1533-position model. The record is from RNAcentral.